This 477-nucleotide ribosomal RNA is filed under the name Candidatus Brocadia fulgida. RNAcentral's name for it is "bacterial SSU rRNA". It matches the Rfam family "Bacterial small subunit ribosomal RNA", at positions 365 to 832 of the family's 1533-position model. The record is from RNAcentral. Lineage: Bacteria; Pseudomonadati; Planctomycetota; Candidatus Brocadiia; Candidatus Brocadiales; Candidatus Brocadiaceae.
UUCGCAAUGCCCGAAAGGGUGACGAAGCGACGCCGCGUGUGGGAAGAAGGCCUUCGGGUUGUAAACCACUGUCGGGAGUUAAGAAAUGUAAGGGUGUUAAUAGUAUCCUUACUUGACUAAGGCUCCGGAGGAAGCCACGGCUAACUCUGUGCCAGCAGCCGCGGUAAUACAGAGGCGGCAAGCGUUGUUCGGAAUUAUUGGGCGUAAAGAGCACGUAGGCGGCCUUGCAAGUCAGUUGUGAAAGCCUUCUGCUUAACGGAAGAACAGCAGCUGAUACUGCAAGGCUAGAGUGCGGAAGGGGAGAGUGGAACUUCUGGUGGAGCGGUGAAAUGCGUAGAUAUCAGAAGGAACACCGGCGGCGAAGGCGACUCUCUGGUCCGUAACUGACGCUGAGUGUGCGAAAGCUAGGGGAGCAAACGGGAUUAGAUACCCCGGUAGUCCUAGCUGUAAACGAUGGGCACUAAGUAGAGGGGUUUU